UGGGAGACGUCUGCUUCCAACUUCUCCGGAACAAAAUCUCAACUAAAUUACUAAAAUAAUACAAAUCAGGUAACAUUGAAACUUAUAGCAACAUGUGAAGGAUGUCAAAAGGGAUGGCUGGGAGACGUCUGCUUCCAACUUCUCCGGUGCAACAGAAAAUCUGGAGAAGAAAGAAAAUGUUUGCAAGGGGUCAUUGUAGGAUUAGUUGUGGGCUUUAAUAAAACAACAACAAAAAGAAAAAUAUUUAAAAUGAUUGGCAUCCCUAGUUUUAUUUGAAAGCCCAUUCUUAUUUAAGAGGCUUCUUCCCUACUCCUUGACCCAUGUAAGAAGCCAUGGCUUCCCAAUCAUCCAGACUCAGUCAUGGCAACCCAAACAAGUUCAUACAAUAUUAUUUUUUCUUGUGUAUGCAGCAAUCAGUAUUAUAUAUAUAUAUACUAGUAUACUCCAAGUGGAGCCUCAUCAAGGGAAGGAGAAAACAAGAAUUCUCACAAACAUGGUAUUAAUUAAGGGACUGUAAGACAACAUAAUAAAAACAAAGUAUCUGUUGAAAAACAAACAAGAACACAAUUAAAACAACUAAUUCUAGACCCAUAAGUUCAUAGUGGAUUAAAUAAAAUAGCAAAACUAUCAUCAUAUCCAAUGUAAGAAGCAGCGGCGGGCAUUUCGUCGAACAGAUAGAAACCAUAUAUAAUUGCAACAUGCCAAACCCUUGAUAUGUAAUGAACAUAAAUUGCUUUAACUUAGUAGCUUGAUACAUUGUAUUCUGGGGCUUUGUUUAUACUUGCCUACUUGAACAAACUGGUGCUGAUAUCUUUGUAUUCUCGGGCGCAGCAAGGGCACAGCCGCAUAGCAAGAGCGCAGAGGCGCAACAGGGGCGCAAGUCGUGCGACUAGGCAGGGGACAACAGGGUUAGGGCACGGUUGGGGCCACGAGCGACUGGAUGCUUGAGAGAGAUGAUGGCGAUUAGUCGUGACUAGUGAGCCAUGAGAGAAAUUUGGGCGCAGCGUAGA
Molecule: long non-coding RNA, 1010 nt
Filed under: Panax ginseng (ginseng)
Lineage: Eukaryota; Viridiplantae; Streptophyta; Magnoliopsida; Apiales; Araliaceae
Description: long non-coding RNA (PGIN_LNC015996)
Source: RNAcentral